GUAGCUCAUUGGUAGAGUGCUUGCCUGGCAUGCAUGAGGUACUGAGUUCGAUUCCUCAGC
RNAcentral lists this transfer RNA (60 nucleotides) under Dipodomys ordii (Ord's kangaroo rat). It matches the Rfam family "tRNA", at positions 7 to 64 of the family's 71-position model. Rfam says of the family: Transfer RNA (tRNA) molecules are approximately 80 nucleotides in length. Their secondary structure includes four short double-helical elements and three loops (D, anti-codon, and T loops). The record is from Rfam by way of RNAcentral. Lineage: Eukaryota; Metazoa; Chordata; Mammalia; Rodentia; Heteromyidae.